UACGUAGGUGGCGAGCGUUGUCCGGAAUUACUGGGUGUAAAGGGCGUGUAGGCGGGUAAGCAAGUCAGAUGUGAAAUACCGGGGCUCAACCCCGGGGCUGCAUUUGAAACUGCAUAUCUUGAGUGCAGGAGAGGGAAGCGGAAUUCCUAGUGUAGCGGUGAAAUGCGUAGAUAUUAGGAGGAACACCAGUGGCGAAGGCGGCUUCCUGGACUGUAACUGACGCUGAGGCGCGAAAGCGUGGGGAGCGAAC
RNAcentral lists this ribosomal RNA (250 nucleotides) under uncultured bacterium. RNAcentral's name for it is "partial 16S ribosomal RNA". It matches the Rfam family "Bacterial small subunit ribosomal RNA", at positions 524 to 773 of the family's 1533-position model. The record is from RNAcentral. RNAcentral also lists the same sequence under 1 other name.